This 253-nucleotide ribosomal RNA is filed under the name uncultured bacterium. RNAcentral's name for it is "partial 16S ribosomal RNA". It matches the Rfam family "Bacterial small subunit ribosomal RNA", at positions 524 to 776 of the family's 1533-position model. The record is from RNAcentral.
UACGAAGGGGGCUAGCGUUGCUCGGAAUCACUGGGCGUAAAGCGCACGUAGGCGGGUUCUUAAGUCGGUGGUGAAAUCCUGGAGCUCAACUCCAGAACUGCCUCCGAUACUGAGAGCCUCGAGUCCGGGAGAGGUGAGUGGAACUGCGAGUGUAGAGGUGAAAUUCGUAGAUAUUCGCAAGAACACCAGUGGCGAAGGCGGCUCACUGGCCCGGUACUGACGCUGAGGUGCGAAAGCGUGGGGAGCAAACGGG